This 1107-nucleotide long non-coding RNA is filed under the name Canis lupus familiaris (dog). RNAcentral's name for it is "lncRNA (ENSCAFG00030024959.1)". The record is from RNAcentral. Lineage: Eukaryota; Metazoa; Chordata; Mammalia; Carnivora; Canidae.
UUCAUAGGCCUAACAUCUUUCAAUUAAGAUAGUUUGAUAUUAAUUUCAGUUGGAGGUUUUAUUAUUCAGUCAAUUUACUUAAAUGUUAAUAAAACAAACAAACAAAAAACCAAACAACCCACAAUCUCUAGAGAAUCUUUCCAUUAUCAUCCUCCAGUUAGAAAAGUGCUUAUUUAUUCUUGCCCUUUGUUUCCUGUCUCUAAGUACUUACCCACAACAAAAACAUUUCCCCUAAUGUCAUGGUAACUACUGAAGAAAAUUUCCCUUCUCAUUUUGUCCUUUUAUCUAAUAGUUUAUUUUUACAGUGUGUCCUGAAGUAAUUUGCCCAUGUAUGGCAGAUUCUAACAACUUGUUAGGCAUCUUACUAGAAGUCCUUCUUUAUAUUUUCCUACUGAAACCAUUUAAAUCCAAGGGAUUCCAACUGAGAGAUUUUCAUUGGCACCUUAUCGUUGAUUAUUAGAAAGCUUUUUCACCCAUAACACAGUGUCUUCUGAAUCUCAGUGAUUCUGGAAUGAAUUAGAGUGUAUUGGAAUGAAAUUCCUUCUCAGCCUUCUUCUUACAGCUGGCUUUUUCUUUUUUUCUUUUUCUUUUUCUUUUCUUUUUUUUUUUUUUUUGUUUGUUUGGCUUCUUUUUUUUUUUUUUUCCUCCUCAAUGAUGAAGUGUGAAGAUUGUCCAGGGCUUGGAAAAGACAUAGAUUAGAGGAAUCAAACAUAUAACGGUUUUAAAUGAAAAAUAUCAGGAAGGAGAAAAUAAGCAGAACAAUGAGAUGAAGAAAAAGAUGCAUCAGGUAACUAUACAUUUUAGGAUUUAUAUUUUUUAAGGGGUAGAUAAUAAAAGUGAUCUUAAAAAUAAAUUAUCUAUUCUAAUCCUAUCAAUUUAAAAGAGGGAAAUAAUUGUUUCAGAAAUGUGAUUUAACUUUCAUACAGUCCCACAUCAGUAAAUGGAAAAUCACUAUUCAAAAUUCCACUCUGAAGUUAUUCCAUCACAUGAUCUGUCCUACCUUAGAAGAACUGAGCUUCUGUUCAAUUCGGACUUCAAAAUAAAUCUUAAAUGUAAAGUUACCUAUUUUAAAGGAAAUCAUUUCUUCUAUAGCAAUACUUGAAUAUA